GGCUGUGAGGGUGGCCCGGUCCCUGCUGCAAAGGUUUUUUUGCUCCGCAACGAGAACGCACUCCGGAAGAGUAGAGCCAAGAGAAACCAGUUGUGGUGGACAACUUUUGAGCCCUUCGUGGUGAUGCCAGUCAUGAUUUUCCACUGACACAAGGUGCUCCAUGAUAUUGCGUGGGCUUCUAAUAAACGUCCAGUAAACCGCAGGUAGCGCCUCAGAGAGGGAUGGGCCCGUGCACCUGUCCACAAAGGGCCUCCACACGCCGCACCUCCACCUUCUGUCGCCCAGCCCUGGCACAGCCAGCUUCGGAGACGAGCCUGCCCCUCGGGACGCCCGCAGGGCCACAGCAGUUGGGGCCGUGGCUUAUCCAUCAUUUUCGCAAAGAUCUCCGUCUGAGAAAUGGAACGAGUCAGCCCUGCCCAGCGGGGGAGGAAAAUGAGCGGC
Prionailurus viverrinus (fishing cat) is the source of this 441-nucleotide long non-coding RNA. RefSeq lists it as uncharacterized. The transcript has 3 exons. Lineage: Eukaryota; Metazoa; Chordata; Mammalia; Carnivora; Felidae. The record is from RefSeq and is a predicted model, not a curated record.